RNAcentral lists this ribosomal RNA (870 nucleotides) under Triticum aestivum (bread wheat). RNAcentral describes it as "partial small subunit ribosomal RNA". Lineage: Eukaryota; Viridiplantae; Streptophyta; Magnoliopsida; Poales; Poaceae. The record is from RNAcentral.
AUGAUUGACUCUGGUACCACAGGAUCAGCCCGGAAUCCGUCCGAAUCCCCAAUGGCGGCGGCAGCGGCAUCGGAGCCACCAGGAAGCCAGCAGAAUCCGCUAUCACCCACACCAAGCAUGGACAAGCAUGACGGCGCCCCAGCCGUGGAUGCCGACAGGUCGAGCCUCACGUCCUACCUCGCCCGUGCCUCGCUCAAGCAGCACCAGCCACAAGGGCGUCCGUCGUCCUCAUCUGCUGCCAUCAUGAGGGACCACCAGCUGUACAACGCCGCCGGCCUCUCCUCCCAGGGACUCAACCUCGGGGACGGGCUCUACAACUUGGCCACCCAAGCCUCCGAUCCAUCCAACAGCCUUGGCGGAGUGGUCCACACCUUCGCCCCACAAGCCUCCCAGGCAUACAACAGCCUAGGUAGCGGGCUCUACAACCUCGCCGCCCAGGGCACCGAGAGAGGCGACCUCGGCAGCGGGCUCUACAAACUCGUCGCCCAGGCCACCCAUGUAGCCGACCUCGGCGGCAGGCUCUGCAACCUUGCCGCCCAGGCCACGCGGGGAGGCGACCUCGGUAGCGGAAGCAGCAGCGAUGUCGAUACCACCGUCGUCGAGGUCGCUUCCCCAAGUGACCUGGGCGGAAAGUUUGUAGAGCCCGCCGUCGAGGUCGGCUCCCUGGGUGGCCUGGUCGGCGAGGUUGUAGAGACCGCCGCUGAGGUCGCCUCCCUGGGUGGCCUGAGCGGCGAGGUUGUAGAGCCCGUUGCCGAGGCUAUUGUAUGCCAUGGAGGCUUGUGCGGCGAAGAUGUAGACUGCGCCGUUGAGGCUGUUGGAUGGCUCGGAGGCUUGGGUGGCCAAGUUGUAGAGCUCGCCGCCGAGGUUUGA